CGGGACGUAGCCCAGUCUGGUAGGGCGCCUGGUUCGGAUCCAGGAGGUCGCAGGUUCAAAUCCUGCCGUCCCGA
RNAcentral lists this transfer RNA (74 nucleotides) under Nannocystis sp. RNAcentral's name for it is "tRNA-Pro". It matches the Rfam family "tRNA". Rfam says of the family: Transfer RNA (tRNA) molecules are approximately 80 nucleotides in length. Their secondary structure includes four short double-helical elements and three loops (D, anti-codon, and T loops). The record is from RNAcentral. Lineage: Bacteria; Pseudomonadati; Myxococcota; Nannocystales; Nannocystaceae.